AAUAGAUACCCGGGUAGUCCACGCCGUAAACGAUGGAUGCUAGCUAUUGGGGGGAAUCGACCCCCUCCGAAGCGAAGCUAACGCGUUAAGCAUCCCGCCUGAGUAGUACGAGCGCAAGCUUAAAACUCAAAGGAAUUGACGGGGACCCGCACAAGCGGUGGAGCGUGUGGUUUAAUUCGAUGGUAAACGAAGAACCUUACCAAGGUUUGACAUCCCGGUAGCCGUUCUCCGAAAGGAGAAUUUCAUUUAGUUGGACCGGUGACAGGUGAUGCAUGGCCGUCGUCAGCUCGUGUCGUGAGAUGUUGGGUUAAGUCCCGCAACGAGCGCAACCCUUAUGAUUUAGUUGGAUUUUUCUAAACAGACUGCCCUGGUAACAGGGAGGAAGGAGGGGAUGAUGUCAGGUCAGUAUUUCCCUUACACCUUGGGGCGACACACGCGCUACAAUGGCCGGUACAAUGGGCAGCUAAGCCGCGAGGUGGAGCAAAUCCCAUCAAAGCCGGUCCCAGUUCGGAUUGCAGGCUGAAACCCGCCUGCAUGAAGCCGGAAUCGCUAGUAACCG
RNAcentral lists this ribosomal RNA (559 nucleotides) under uncultured bacterium. RNAcentral describes it as "bacterial SSU rRNA". It matches the Rfam family "Bacterial small subunit ribosomal RNA", at positions 777 to 1344 of the family's 1533-position model. The record is from RNAcentral.